AUACGGAGGAUGCGAGCGUUAUCCGGAUUUAUUGGGUUUAAAGGGUGCGUAGGCUGUGCGUUAAGUCAGCGGUUAAAUCGUGGGGCUCAACCCCAUUCUGCCGUUGAUACUGGGUGGCUUGAUUGCGGUCGAGGUUGGCGGAAUUCGUUGUGUAGCGGGGAAAUGCAUAGAUAUGACGAAGAACACCGAUUGCGUAGGCAGCUGACCAGACCGCAAAUGACGCUCAUGCACGAAAGUGCGGGGAUCGAACAGGAUUAGAUACCCUGGUAGUCCGCACAGUAAACGAUGAAUACUUGUUUUCGGCGAUAUAAUGUCGGAGGCAAAGCGAAAGCGAUAAGUAUUCCACCUGGGGAGUACGCCGGCAACGGUGAAACUCAAAGGAAUUGACGGGG
RNAcentral lists this ribosomal RNA (392 nucleotides) under uncultured bacterium. RNAcentral's name for it is "partial 16S ribosomal RNA". It matches the Rfam family "Bacterial small subunit ribosomal RNA", at positions 523 to 918 of the family's 1533-position model. The record is from RNAcentral.